CCUACGGGAGGCAGCAGUAGGGAAUCUUUCACAAUGGGCGAAAGCCUGAUGGAGCAACGCCGCGUGCAGGAUGAAGGCCUUCGGGUUGUAAACUUCUUUUAUAAGCGAGAAAUAUGAUUCUAACUUAUGAAUAAGGUUCGGCUAACUACGUGCCAGCAGCAGCGGUCAGACGUAGGAGCCGAGCAUUAUCCGGAGUGACUGGGUGUAAAGAGUUGCGUAGGUGGGAUAAUAAGUAGCUAGUGGAAUAUUGUGGGUCAAACAUUCAGACGAUUAGCUAAACUGUUAAGCUUGAGUCCGUUAGGGGUAACUGGAAUGUCUAGUGUAGGAGUGAAAUGCGUAGAUAUCA
This 346-nucleotide ribosomal RNA is filed under the name uncultured bacterium. RNAcentral describes it as "partial 16S ribosomal RNA". It matches the Rfam family "Bacterial small subunit ribosomal RNA", at positions 338 to 699 of the family's 1533-position model. The record is from RNAcentral.